GGCAUGGUGGCUUAGUGGUUAGCACUGUUGCCUCACACCUCUGGGGUUGGUGGGUUCGUAUCCCACCUCUGCCC
This is a non-coding RNA of Pangasianodon gigas (Mekong giant catfish), 74 nucleotides long. The record is from the annotation of a GenBank genome assembly. NCBI's taxonomy places the organism in Eukaryota, Metazoa, Chordata, Actinopteri, Siluriformes, Pangasiidae.